Ictalurus punctatus (channel catfish) is the source of this 4657-nucleotide RNA transcript. RefSeq lists it as uncharacterized. The record is from RefSeq and is a predicted model, not a curated record. The transcript has 5 exons. Lineage: Eukaryota; Metazoa; Chordata; Actinopteri; Siluriformes; Ictaluridae.
ACUUGUUGAUGAGAGAGCUCAGAGGAGAAUGGGCAGACUGGUUCACGCUGACAGGAAGUCUACAGUAACACAAUAACCAUUCUUUACAACUGUGGUGAGAAGGAAAGCUCAGAUCUCAGAAUGGACAACAUGCUGCAAAUUCAGGCAGUCAGACUUCAACAGCAGAAGACAACAUCGGGUUCCGGCGGGAAUCAAUGGGCAUGAUAAUGAGUUAAGGGUACUUCAGUGACCUGCACAAUCAUUAGAUCUAAAUAAAGAAGAACAUCUUUGGGAUGUGGUUUUACAACAGUUAUUAAAACUAUUGCCUGUAUCCAGUGAAGAACUCACUCUAAAAAGCCAAUUCAAAUUAAAAUUGAAAUAAGCCUAAGCUGAGUGUAGGCUCUGUGGGUUUGAUACUGCUUCAACCACAGCCUCUCACACUUCCGUAUAAAAACUAGGCACCCUCCCAAUUUAGUUCUCAUUCACUUCACCUAGGCACUUCAACUUGGAAGAGGCCAUUAUACAGGGGAGCAGAACUGUUAUAUCUAAAUAUUCCAACUUCAUUUCAAUCUAAUAACAUGAUUGGCUUUUUUCAAGACUUCAAAAGGUAUUAAAUAGGAAAUGAGAAACAUGUGGGUCAAAAUGACAUGACUAUAAAACAAUGACACACAAGCUGUAGUUUGAUGACCCCUACAACUUGGAUUUUACCAAGUGGAAGUGUCUAGGGGAAGUAGGUAGAAGGUUGAAUUUGCUAGGAGAAAUUGAGACCACAGAGUGAGUUGUGUUCAGACUUCCUGUGGAAAAAUUUACCAGCGGCUAAAGAGCUAGACAAACAAUUACACAAUCACAAACUGUUUCUCUUAUCUGAAAAUUCUUUUUACUACCGCAAAGCAAAAUGUAGUCUUUUAAAUACAAUACUUUCCCUUUAGUUUUGCCCAGUUAUUUCUUCUGGAAUGGUUUAAUCAUAAAAAUGUUAAGUUUUUUUUUUAUAGUCAUUAUGAUUAAUUUCUCUACAUGAAAUUGAGUGCUUUUCACUUUAGCUCUAGUCCAAACCAGUUUCUACACUCUUCAGCCGCUGCCUCGCACAUUUCCUGAUUGAAACCGGGCACCCUCCCAAUGCAGUUCCUAAUCACUUCCCCUAGGCACUUCAACUCAGAAGAGUCCAUUAUGCAGGGGAGCACAGCUGUUGUUUUUAAACACUGUGACUUUAUAUUGCUCAAAAUAAUGACUACAACAGAACUUUAUUUCAUUUGUAUGUUUAUCCAAAAUAGAAGAAUACAUAAAAAAGAGAGCUCAUGGGGCAAAAUGACAUGCUUAUUAAAGAAUCUUGCACAAGCUGAAGUUUGAUCCCCCUGCAACUUGGAUUCUUCUAAGUGGAAGUGUUUAGGGGAAGUAAGUAUGGGAUUUAAUUGGGUUGAGACCCUUGAAGACCAUAAGGUCUGUGACAUGUUGUGCAAACACAGAAAAUCAGAAUUGAUCAUGGAAACAGCACCAGUGAAAUAUUCUGGUGAGUAUAUAAGAGAAGUUCUUUUCAAAAUAACACUCAUGGGGCCAUUUAUUUAAGGUAAAGACUACAUUGUAGAAGACAUGUACUGUAAUUAAAUAUCUAUAUUUACUUCCUGUUUCUAAAAAUCAAACAGGAAUUUAUUCUAAUGUGGAGCAGGUAAUUUAUCACCUUAAUGAUCCACGGUUAUGAAAUUCCUUAAAAUGCAUUAAAUAGUAUGUGGUACUCUUUCUAUUAAUAUCUCUGAAUCUUAUCAAAAAUGUUUGCUCAAAUGUUAAUUUAAACUAUGCAUAAAUAUAACUCUCAUGUGUCUCUGUUCAUCUCAUCCAGAACAAAAUCUGGCUUUGAACUACAGGAAACCAGGAUUUUGGUAACUGAAGCCAAAAAUGUGUUCAGUAUUUAGGUUGUAUAUGGCUUGAAUUCGGUUCUUGGUUUAAUUACUUGGUAUGAGACUUUGAAUCCACAGAGUGAGUUGUGUUCAGACUUCCUGUGGAAAAAUUUACCAGAGGCUGAAUGAUUUAAUCAUAAAAUGUUUAAGCUUUUGAUAGACUUUAUGAUAUUUCUCUACAUGUAAGAAGGUGUUUUUCACUUUAGUGUCAGUCCAAACCAGCUUCUAGGCUUUCCAGCCACUUCCUCGCACAUUUCUGGAUUGAAACCAGGCACCCUCCCAAUGCAGUUCUUACUCACUUCCCCUAGGCACUUCAACUCAGAAGAGUCCAUUAUGCAGGGGAGCACAGCUGUUGUUUUUAAACACCCUGAGUUUAUUUCAUUUAAAAUAAUGCCUACAAUGUGAUUUUACUUCAUUUGUAUGUUUAUCCAAAGUAGAAUAAACAAAGAAGAAAGCUCAUGGGGCACAAUGACAGGAUUAUUAAACAAUGUUGUACAAGCUGAUGUUUGUUUCCCCUGCAACUUGGACUCUCCUAAGUGGAAGUGUCUAGGGGAAGUAAAUAUGGGAUUGAAUUUGGUUGAGACCCUUGAAGAUCAUAAGAUCUGCUGUACAAACACACACACACACCAAAAAAAAAAAAAAAACCCAGAAGUGAUCAUGGGAACAUGUGAGUGUAUAAUAGAAAGCACUUGUUUGUUUAAAUGUCUAAUUUACUCAGGUAUCAAUGUUUGUAUUGUUACUACUUGCAUGGUUACACACAGUAUAUCUUGGGCAUAGACUGUUCUAGGUAGUACAAAUCAAAGUUUCAUUACUUGUACAUUGUGUUAGAGAGGUGAGUAUAAGUAGGCAAAAGGUCUGAAAUUGUUCACUGGUGUGAUGUUUUCUGCAGGUCAACACAUGUCUCUGGUUUGUCCUGCUCCAAACAGGAAUCACUUCUCUGGUUUCUCUUCUCACUACUGUCUUUCUUCUGUUUACAAGUUGGAGAGGAGAGCUGUUUGAGCGUUUCAUUUUACUCUAAGGAAAGACAAGAUCAGAACCAUGAACAUGACUCUACAAAUGAUUUUUAUCUUAUGGAAAGUGACAGUGAUCAAGAUUCGCUGCCCUCUUCUGAUGACCAUCAGUCCAUGGACACUCCCAACACUUUUGAAGGAAAUAUGUUCCUUUUUUCUGUUGGGUAAACAUACUAUAUACUGACCUUUACUGACAAAUAGCAAUAUCCAGAAGGAAGUCAGAUGCCUCUGAGGCUGACCAACAAUCCAGGAUGGAAGCAAAGCAAAACAACGUAAAGAAGACCAAAGGAACCUGCUUUAAGUCACGCUUUCAGUCUGCACUACGAGCUUUGCUGGUGUCUUGUGCCCCGUUCUGUAUGACCUCAAUUCCCACCAGAGAUGAGGCCGAUUGUGAUGGAUGCGUCCAUAGCAGAAAAGAGAGCAGCAGGAAACUCCACCCUGAGUAGAAAUGCUUUCAAAGCUGUGACAAUUUCCGCAUCUGAGAAAGACGAGAGACGAACGGAAGCUAAACUUUUACCAUGAUUCAUGAUCAGAAAGUCAGUAUGUCCUCUCCACUUCCUCAUUCCUGCUAAUGAUCAGACUGGGAGAUUCACAGUGGAGGAUCGAAAUGCCAUAAAGUGGAGAUUCGGGAGAACUUUGAUGGAGCGGUUCUUCAUGAGAGUGUUCACUGGCAAUAAUCACAUGGAGGAGCAUCGUUUGUUUUCAUAACCUUGCACUUUCAUUUUUCAUUUAUGGAUUUAAGGGUGUGAAAAUUGAGUAUGUAAGUGUUGCAUGUUUUUAUUUUACUGCUCCAAAGUCCUUCAUCUAAAUGCAAUUCCAAACUGGGGUCAAAAACAAAAUAAUCAUCGCAGGCAAAAUCUAUUAUCAUAAUCCAGCAGAGAGCCAGGAUUAAAACCAGAAGUCAAGCAGAAAUUACAGCAAAUUUAACGAGACUAGGAAACUAAGGGAUUAUAGAACUAUGGACCCAAACAAUACUUCUUGGAUUUACAGUAAAUGUUCUGCCUCUGUUAGAGGCUGUGUAUAGUUUAUUAUGGGCAUUUGCAUUUAUAAAUAUAAUAUUAUCUUAGUUGCUUAAUAUUCUCUACAAAUUCUGUUUUACCUGCCAUUAUUCUGUAAGGUUAUACAUGAGGACUCUUAUUGUGACGUGUUUUCGCAAGCACUGCAUGUUGGGUAACAGGAAGCAGCAAGCACAUGGCGCGGUGAAAACUCGAAACGUGUUUGUCGCAUCUGAGUCAAUCCUCCUUCUAAACUCUAACGAAACCAAUGGCUUUUUAUUCGUUUCAGUGGCCAGUGUUUCUGAGAUUGUAAACUGUACGUUGAAUAAUUAAAGGAGCAAGGUGCUCAUAUCCUGGCUCCUGAACAGAGUUUGCCUUGCUGUUUAUCUGCAUUCACGCUUGGAAAAGCAAACAUUUAGAGAGAACAGUAUAUACACAUCAUAAAACUGACCCGAAAUCAGUUGAAACCAUAGUAGACACUGGUUCAUAAGUUCAUGAGGAGAUCAACACCCCCUAGUGGCAACCAUCGGAAACGUUUCAAAGCAGUAAUGAUGUAAAUAAGCCUCGAAAUCACGUGACUUGCCCAGCUUGGUACAUGCUCCGAACCACUGAAUUUUUAUUUUUUUUUUAACAAGAUUUUUAAAAGGUUUCGCGGUUUCAUGAAGCAGUGUUUCAAACGCGGCCAUCACUAAGAAAUAGAAAAAUGGUAAUCAGGUACAGUUAAUGUAUGAGAGUGGCUGAGUAGUUGCUAUUGAAUAAUAAAUUGUCUGCUAAUCCGAUA